AGCCUCCCGAGUAGCUGGGAUUAUAGGCAUGUGCCACCACGCCCGGCUAAUUUUGUACUUUUAGUACAGACAGGAUUUCUCCAUGUUGGUCAGGCUGGUCUCGAACUCCCGAUCUCAGGUGAUCCGCCCGCCUCGACCUCCCAAAGUGUUGGGAUUUACAGGCGUGGAUUAUUUUAUUUAUUGUGUAAUUCAGUAUUAAUCUUUUUAAGGGCUAUGUGUGAGAGGGAUUGGAAAAAGGAGAAGGGAAGUCAUUGCCAGACAGCACGGCCCAGCCUUUUCCUGCCCACCCUCCUCAAUCAAGUGCUGAUAAAUAAGCUUCCCAUCUGUUUGUCACCAGUGUGCUUUGCCACCUCCUUUUUCUCCCCUCCACUACAAAACCAGCCACCUGGUUUCCCCAGCAAUGCAGGGAGCCUCCCCAAAUCCCUAAAGACCUUAGGAAAUUAGUCUAAGAUUAAGACCUUAGGAAAUUAGUUUGUUACACCCCAAGUUGGAGGGUGACAGGUUGCAGCAGCAGCUAACGUACAGGAGACAGACCUGAGCAUGGUGAAGUUAGGAGAGGGGAAGACGGAGCAGGCCCAGCGGUUGAGAACCACUGCACUGUUGAGUGGCCACUGCAUGCCAGGCUCUGGUCUAGGAACUUUGCUUACUUUUCCUUUUUUAAUACACAAGUCAAGCCCAUGAAGUAAGUAUGGUUAGUCUAAAAAGAAGAAACUGAAGCACAGAAAGGUUAGGUAAUUUGUUGAAGGUCAUCCAGCUAGAAACUGGCCAAACCUGGCUUUGAACAAAUGUUACAAUGGCUAUGAGACUGAAAACACACAAAAACUGAAAAUACACAAGUUGUCUUGUUUCUUCCACAAUCUUUGAAGCUUCUUUAACAUGGCUCCUAUAAUCUGUCUUGGGACUCACAUCCAAGACAGAAAUUGUCACUUAUCUGAUAAAGGAAAUGAAACUGACAAUCCUACCCCACCCUUCCGUCUUUCAUGUUUGCCAGAGAAGGUGUUAAUGAACAAAUGGGAAGGAGAAGGUGGGGCUGGGGAGGGGUAAAAAAAGGGGCCCAGCUCGUCCAGGUAGCACUAAGCUAUGGGCUUACACUAAUCCCUGCAGAGAACAUCUGAACAUUUGUACAUUAAGCAAUCAUUUUUUUUUGAACGAUACAGAAAUUAGCAUGGCCCCGUGCAAGGAUGACUUGCAAAUUCAUGAAGCAUUCCCUAUUUUUUCAAAAUUAAAAUAAAAAUAAUUUUUUUUUUUUUUGAGACGGAGUCUCGCUGUUUUGCCCAGGGCGGACUGCAGUGGCGCUAUCUCGGCUCACUGCAAGCUCCACUUCCCGGGUUCAUGCCAUUCUCCUGCCUCAGCCUCCCGAGUAGCUGGAACUACAGGUGCCCGCCACCGCGCCCAGCUAAUUUUUAGUAUUUUUAGUAGAGACGGAGUUUCACCGUGUUAGCCAAGAUGGUCUCAAUCUCC
This 1461-nucleotide long non-coding RNA is filed under the name Homo sapiens (human). The record is from RNAcentral. Lineage: Eukaryota; Metazoa; Chordata; Mammalia; Primates; Hominidae.